GCCCUUGUAGUUCAACGGAUAGAACAGUGCCGUCCUAAGGCGAAGAUGGGAGUUCGAUUCUCUCCGAGGGCA
Molecule: transfer RNA, 72 nt
Rfam family: tRNA
About the family: Transfer RNA (tRNA) molecules are approximately 80 nucleotides in length. Their secondary structure includes four short double-helical elements and three loops (D, anti-codon, and T loops).